This 1668-nucleotide long non-coding RNA is filed under the name Anas platyrhynchos (mallard). RNAcentral's name for it is "lncRNA (ENSAPLG00020011695.1)". The record is from RNAcentral. Lineage: Eukaryota; Metazoa; Chordata; Aves; Anseriformes; Anatidae.
AAGCAUUACUACAUCCAGAUUUUAGCCUAGAGUCUGCAAAAGCUAAUUUGAGAUCCCAAAAUAGCCAUCAGCAUCGGAUGUGUCUCUCAGAGAUGCUCUAAUUAGCCAGACAUUCCGGGGGUGCUGCAGGACUCACUGAAAUACGUGAGGGGUAAGAGAUUCCUCCGAGAGCUGAAGUCUGAGUCGCCCACACAACCUCCCUCUGCGCUGACACCACCACUGGAGGGGGCAUUCUGCUGGCUGCGGGCAGACAAGUGCAGGGCUGAAAACCUGCCUUGAUGUGGCCCUCUGUGAACAUCCAAAUUUGGCAAGUUGGGUCCAGCUUGGAUGUCGGAGCCCAGCUGGAUUCCCUGUUUGGCUGUUAGAGCAGCUGAUUCUUUUUGUACGGAAUGAGUUUUUAAUUCUGAACGAGAGCAUCUGCCGCGGACAGAGCCAAGAAAAACAAUUGAAACGUGCACAUCUUCCCUUCCUCACCCCACACCGCUGCUCUCCUAAGGAGCACGUGGGCAGAGGGCGAUCCCUGCAGCCUAUGCCAAACCUUCUGAGCAGCCCUAAAGGAAACGGGACCAGCUGUGCCCUGGCUGCUGGAGCUGCCGAGGAGAACAGGAGGUGCUGCUCACACGGCUCCUCUCUCGGCUAUGAGGAGUACAUAUGGUGCUUCUGGGGAGCAAGGCGAGGCUGAGGGAAAUCCCGCUUUAAUUGAUAAAGCCGGAACAUCCCGAAGGAGAUGUUGGAUACGAGCCCCACUUGUAAGCUUUGAGGGGGAGGAAUUUCUGCAGGCUAGCUGGGGCCCGUGGGGAGCUGCCAUCUCAAAUGUAGAUAUUAUUCCUCCUUGCUGCUCGGGAAGCUCGGUUCUGUGAGCGCAGUGCCGAAACCUUUGCUGCUGCUGCUCAGGUUGAGCCUUGCACUGCUGCCGUGUGUUUCAAUCGAGACGUUUGCCUCCACUCUGCUCCUUUUGCAAAGCGGGAUGGAGCUCGGAGGAGCUGGUGUCAGAGACAAUAAAGGAGCACAGGUUAAGAUGCCGUUGCCUUUCCUGUGACUGGGAAGCAGGGAACUGGCCAGAAUUCACUGGGAGCACUGGCGAGCACCAGGACCUCCUUCAGCUGCCCCGAAAGCAGCGUGGGGGCUGCGAUGCUGGUUUCCAACAGAGCGGUGGCACUGAUGCAUCCUGCCUGAUGGCAUUACGGCUCCUGAAGCACGAGGUCUGCACCCAGGAUCCGCAUGCCGUGGGGUCUGAUGGCUCUGCACAGCACAGGUCCCAAACCCAGUAAGGAGCAGAAGACGAGUCCUGAAAGUUCACUGCCUUCAGCAGCGGCUCUGCCUCCAGCCUAGGCAGGGGUGGCUGUCCCCAUUGUGUAACGCUCCAUCUGCACUGAGGCAUCGAACGCCCACGAGUGGAGGAAUUCGAUGAACAACACAGCGAGCGGCGGGUGGAGAUGGCGAAGACUGAUCAAGGUGAAUCACGGCGUUAAAAUAACUCGCAGGGGAAAGCGGCGCGCUCAGGGCUGCCAUUUAGCAAGAAGCCUUGAGCAGGUGCUGGAAACGAUUACUCAUCCCUUACAAUAAAGGCCUAACGCUGGCUUUUUUGCCUUUUUUUUUUUUUUUUGGUGUCGGGCUGGAGAUGCGGAGCGGGGCUCAGCCCCCGGGGUGAUGCUAUGGGGGGGGAGG